GUUCUCUGUCUGACGGGUUUGAAAAAAAUCGAAUCCGAAAAGCCGUUGGAACGAACCGGACUUUGAUUCGAGAAUUCACGAUGCGUACUCCGAGCGGCCGACAAACAGGCGGCUCGAUAUUCCGUUACCUCCAGCGUUUCCGCGGCAAGGCAUGUAUUAUACCCGAGUGAGGAAUUUCCUCUCGCUGCCAGCUCGAAAUUUUCGUCAAAUUACGAAGCGGCGCGCGUUCGCCUGACGUAAGCUUGGCAACGGCGCUUUCAUCAAACUGCCUAACGCUCUGCUCGGUUCCUGCUCUUCUACCACCACCGGCUGCAUCGGUCGGCUAGCCGUCAGGAUCGGGAGGAGAGGCGGUUUCACGGAACAAGGGGAGAGGUAGAAAAGAGACGAGAGAAAAGUGGGGAAUGAAAGAGAGAAAAAGAGACAGACACAAAGCCGGAUAGGAACCUUGGGAGAUUCGAAAUAUUUCCAAAAUUCGCCGGAGGGAAAAAGUGGAAUGGAAAAAAAAAAAUAAAACCGUACGAAACGAUGAUUCCUUUCCAUUAUCAUGGGGGAAAAAAGUAAACCACAAUUUCCAACACACGUAGAGACACGCACAUACGCAUGUAAAUCGAUCUUCUUUGCCUGGGAACCAACCAAUGAAGAGAUUAUGAA
This is a long non-coding RNA of Neodiprion fabricii, 651 nucleotides long. RefSeq lists it as uncharacterized. The record is from RefSeq and is a predicted model, not a curated record. The transcript is spliced from 2 exons. Lineage: Eukaryota; Metazoa; Arthropoda; Insecta; Hymenoptera; Diprionidae.